This 586-nucleotide ribosomal RNA is filed under the name Kocuria sp. SCULCB HNA-28. Its description in RNAcentral is "bacterial SSU rRNA". It matches the Rfam family "Bacterial small subunit ribosomal RNA", at positions 92 to 689 of the family's 1533-position model. The record is from RNAcentral. Lineage: Bacteria; Bacillati; Actinomycetota; Actinomycetes; Micrococcales; Micrococcaceae.
UUAGUGGCGAACGGGUGAGUAAUACGUGAGUAACCUGCCCUUGACUCUGGGAUAAGCCUGGGAAACUGGGUCUAAUACUGGAUACUACCUCUCACCGCAUGGUGGGUGGUGGAAAGGGUUUUACUGGUUUUGGAUGGGCUCACGGCCUAUCAGCUUGUUGGUGGGGUAAUGGCUCACCAAGGCGACGACGGGUAGCCGGCCUGAGAGGGUGACCGGCCACACUGGGACUGAGACACGGCCCAGACUCCUACGGGAGGCAGCAGUGGGGAAUAUUGCACAAUGGGCGGAAGCCUGAUGCAGCGACGCCGCGUGAGGGAUGACGGCCUUCGGGUUGUAAACCUCUUUCAGUAGGGAAGAAGCGAAAGUGACGGUACCUGCAGAAGAAGCGCCGGCUAACUACGUGCCAGCAGCCGCGGUAAUACGUAGGGCGCAAGCGUUGUCCGGAAUUAUUGGGCGUAAAGAGCUCGUAGGCGGUUUGUCGCGUCUGCUGUGAAAGCCCGGGGCUCAACCCCGGGUCUGCAGUGGGUACGGGCAGACUAGAGUGCAGUAGGGGAGACUGGAAUUCCUGGUGUAGCGGUGAAAAUGC